This 1103-nucleotide ribosomal RNA is filed under the name Acinetobacter johnsonii. RNAcentral describes it as "bacterial SSU rRNA". It matches the Rfam family "Bacterial small subunit ribosomal RNA", at positions 387 to 1483 of the family's 1533-position model. The record is from RNAcentral. Lineage: Bacteria; Pseudomonadati; Pseudomonadota; Gammaproteobacteria; Moraxellales; Moraxellaceae.
AUCAGCCAUGCCGCGUGUGUGAAGAAGGCCUUUUGGUUGUAAAGCACUUUAAGCGAGGAGGAGGCUACUUAGAUUAAUACUCUUGGAUAGUGGACGUUACUCGCAGAAUAAGCACCGGCUAACUCUGUGCCAGCAGCCGCGGUAAUACAGAGGGUGCGAGCGUUAAUCGGAUUUACUGGGCGUAAAGCGUGCGUAGGCGGCUUUUUAAGUCGGAUGUGAAAUCCCUGAGCUUAACUUAGGAAUUGCAUUCGAUACUGGGAAGCUAGAGUAUGGGAGAGGAUGGUAGAAUUCCAGGUGUAGCGGUGAAAUGCGUAGAGAUCUGGAGGAAUACCGAUGGCGAAGGCAGCCAUCUGGCCUAAUACUGACGCUGAGGUACGAAAGCAUGGGGAGCAAACAGGAUUAGAUACCCUGGUAGUCCAUGCCGUAAACGAUGUCUACUAGCCGUUGGGGCCUUUGAGGCUUUAGUGGCGCAGCUAACGCGAUAAGUAGACCGCCUGGGGAGUACGGUCGCAAGACUAAAACUCAAAUGAAUUGACGGGGGCCCGCACAAGCGGUGGAGCAUGUGGUUUAAUUCGAUGCAACGCGAAGAACCUUACCUGGUCUUGACAUAGUAAGAACUUUCCAGAGAUGGAUUGGUGCCUUCGGGAACUUACAUACAGGUGCUGCAUGGCUGUCGUCAGCUCGUGUCGUGAGAUGUUGGGUUAAGUCCCGCAACGAGCGCAACCCUUUUCCUUAUUUGCCAGCGGGUUAAGCCGGGAACUUUAAGGAUACUGCCAGUGACAAACUGGAGGAAGGCGGGGACGACGUCAAGUCAUCAUGGCCCUUACGACCAGGGCUACACACGUGCUACAAUGGUCGGUACAAAGGGUUGCUACCUAGCGAUAGGAUGCUAAUCUCAAAAAGCCGAUCGUAGUCCGGAUUGGAGUCUGCAACUCGACUCCAUGAAGUCGGAAUCGCUAGUAAUCGCGGAUCAGAAUGCCGCGGUGAAUACGUUCCCGGGCCUUGUACACACCGCCCGUCACACCAUGGGAAUUUGUUGCACCAGAAGUAGGUAGUCUAACCGCAAGGAGGACGCUUACCACGGUGUGGCCGAUGAUGGGUGA